GACGAACGCUGGCGGCGUGCUUAACACAUGCAAGUCGAACGAUGAAGCCCAGCUUGCUGGGUGGAAGAGUGGCGAACGGGUGAGUAACACGUGAGCAACCUGCCCUUCACUCUGGGAUAAGCACUGGAAACGGUGUCUAAUACUGGAUAUGCACAAUGGCCGCAUGGUCUGUUGGGGGACAGAUUUAUCGGUGAAGGAUGGGCUCGCGGCCUAUCAGCUUGUUGGUGAGGUAGUGGCUCACCAAGGCGACGACGGGUAGCCGGCCUGAGAGGGUGGCCGGCCACACUGGGACUGAGACACGGCCCAGACUCCUACGGGAGGCAGCAGUGGGGAAUAUUGCACAAUGGGCGCAAGCCUGAUGCAGCAACGCCGCGUGAGGGAUGACGGCCUUCGGGUUGUAAACCUCUUUUAGUAGGGAAGAAGCGAAAGUGACGGUACCUGCAGAAAAAGCACCGGCUAACUACGUGCCAGCAGCCGCAGUAA
RNAcentral lists this ribosomal RNA (483 nucleotides) under uncultured bacterium. Its description in RNAcentral is "partial 16S ribosomal RNA". It matches the Rfam family "Bacterial small subunit ribosomal RNA", at positions 28 to 523 of the family's 1533-position model. The record is from RNAcentral.